Sorghum bicolor (sorghum) is the source of this 455-nucleotide long non-coding RNA. RefSeq lists it as uncharacterized. The record is from RefSeq and is a predicted model, not a curated record. The transcript is spliced from 3 exons. NCBI's taxonomy places the organism in Eukaryota, Viridiplantae, Streptophyta, Magnoliopsida, Poales, Poaceae.
UUUGAGGUAAAUUUUCAUCCAUUAAAUUAUACUUAAGUGAUUCAAUGUCUAUAUUAGACAUGCAUUCAGCGUGUGUUUAGCAUGCACAUGUGUUAAAUUCUUAAUUUUAGAAAACGAAUAAUGUCGCCCUCUUUAGUGAGUAUAAAAUAACAUUUUGAGCCUCGUAGGAGGGUGCAGGCAGCGGUCGGAGGUGUAUACGUGGGACUGCUCAAGUGUGGCGCUGGGGAUCAGGAGGUACUGGUGCCAGAACUCACCCAUCACCCAAAAAAUCUGUGAAGAAACUUUUCUUAGAUGGAGAUACCAACAAAGAUGUUCGUGACAACUCGGAAACCAAGACACUGAAAAAUGUGAAUAGGAAAAGUGCACAACUGAAGAUAGUUGAUCGGAGAAGGAUGAUCAAGGUGCUUUUGCCUCUACAAGCUGGACAACGGAUGCUCUUUUGGUUUCUCGGUACC